GAUGAACGCUGGCGGCGUGCCUAACACAUGCAAGUCGAGCGGACAGAUGAGGCGCUUGCUCCUCUUACGUUACGGGCGGAUGGGUGAUUAACACGUGGCUACCCGACCUAUGAGACUGGGAUAACUUCGGGAAACCGGAGCUAAUAUCGGAUAUUAUAUUGAACGGCAUGGUUCAAUAGUGAUAGAGGUUUUUGCUGUCACUUGUACAUGGAUCCUCGCCGUAUUGGCUAGUUGGUAGGGUAACGGCUUACCAAGGCAACGAUGCGUAGCCGACCUGAGAGGGUGAUCGGCCACACUGGAACUGAGACACGGUCCAGACUCCUACGGGAGGCAGCAGUGGGGAAUCUUCCGCAAAGGGCGAAAGCCUGACGGAGCAACGCCGCGUGUGUGAUGAAGGUCUUCGGAUCGUAAAGCUCUGUUAGUAGGGAAGAACAGAUGUGAGAGUAACUAUGGACGUCUUGACGGUACCUAAACAAAAAGCCACGGCUAACUACGUG
This 497-nucleotide ribosomal RNA is filed under the name uncultured bacterium. Its description in RNAcentral is "partial 16S ribosomal RNA". It matches the Rfam family "Bacterial small subunit ribosomal RNA", at positions 28 to 507 of the family's 1533-position model. The record is from RNAcentral.